RNAcentral lists this unclassified non-coding RNA (240 nucleotides) under soil metagenome. RNAcentral's name for it is "partial contains 5.8S ribosomal RNA, internal transcribed spacer 2, and large subunit ribosomal RNA". The record is from RNAcentral.
AACGCACGAGACCUGCGGACCUGCGGAGGGAUCAUUACCAAUUUUUUAUUAUUAGUUUUCUAGUGCCCUUUUUUGUGGGGGUGCUAUUAACUACUAAUGUAAACGUUGAACUAGAUCAUUCAGUUGUGGGGUUUUUCUUCAUUGCUUGGAGACAAGUCGUGUUGUUACCCCACUCCUGAUAACCUUUUUCUAAUAUUACAAACUAUACAUACUACAAACAAACAAACAAAAGCUUUAAUA